RNAcentral lists this ribosomal RNA (200 nucleotides) under uncultured Enterococcus sp. Its description in RNAcentral is "partial 16S ribosomal RNA". It matches the Rfam family "Bacterial small subunit ribosomal RNA", at positions 335 to 527 of the family's 1533-position model. Lineage: Bacteria; Bacillati; Bacillota; Bacilli; Lactobacillales; Enterococcaceae. The record is from RNAcentral.
ACUCCUACGGGAGGCAGCAGUAGGGAAUCUUCGGCAAUGGACGAAAGUCUGACCGAGCAAUGAGUCGUGGAGGUAGAAGGUUUUCGGAUCGUAAACUUCUGUUGUUAGAGAAGAACAAGGAUGAGAGUAACUGUUCAUCCCUUGACGGUAUCUAACCAGAAAGCCACGGCUAACUCUGUGCCAGCAGCCGCGGUAAUAAU